AAAAAAAUUGGAUCCUAAGAGAUAAGACUUUUCUCACUAGAGCUUGAGGUCAUGGAAAUAUUUGAAUAUAGUAAAAUCUGUGAUGUUUUAUGACUUUAAAAAUAUUCCUCAUAUUAGAGAUUGCUAUUUUGGCUCGAACACAAAUGUCUAGAAAUUGUUUUCAAUUUGGAGGUUGAUCUUGUUUUGAUGGAAUUUGAAGUUUUGACUAUUCGUAGUAAACUCAUUGGGGGCAGUUUCUUAUUUACAUGCAAUAUCUUAAGUGAUACUCAUCUAACACUCGUGCAAACAAGAUUUGCUUUCAUUUGUUUGCCUGUUGAGUCACAGGUUAUCCACAACUAACAAACAACCUCCACCUUCCUUUCCAAGGCAAUGAAAUGAUGAAACAAUUAUUUUUGAACUUUUUUGGUUCAAGUAUGAUGUAAUUGAGCCAUGCCAAAUUGUAUCAAACGAGCAUCUUUUCAUAUUGAAUGAUAACUAGUGGUUUAGAGUACUUAUUAUCGAUCCUAUCACCUAUGGUUUCAUGGGUCUUUUUUUUCUUUUUUUUUUUAUUGUGGCGGGGGGUGGGGGGCGUGUUGGAUGGUUCUAAUGCCACAAUCCACCUUUACUUGCACCUCAUCUAACACUCGUGCAAACAAGAUUUGCUUUCAUUUGCUUGCCUGUUGAGUCAUAGGUUAUCCACAACUAACAAACAACCUCCACCUUCCUCUCCAAGGCAAUGAAAUGAUGAAACAAUUAUUUUUGAACUUUUUUGGUUCAAGUAUGAUGUAAUUGAGCCAUGCCAAAUUGUAUCAAACAAGCAUCUUUUGAUAUUGAAUGAUAACUAGUGGUUUAGAGUACUUAUUAUUGAUCCUAUCACCUAUGGUUUCAUGGGCUUUUUUUUUUU
Molecule: long non-coding RNA, 883 nt
Filed under: Elaeis guineensis (African oil palm)
Lineage: Eukaryota; Viridiplantae; Streptophyta; Magnoliopsida; Arecales; Arecaceae
Description: long non-coding RNA (EGUI_LNC010805)
Source: RNAcentral